Molecule: non-coding RNA, 20 nt
Filed under: Xenopus tropicalis (tropical clawed frog)
Lineage: Eukaryota; Metazoa; Chordata; Amphibia; Anura; Pipidae
Also listed under: 4 other names
Source: RNAcentral
GGAUAGCUCAGUCGGUAGAG